GGCUGGUCCAAAGGUAGUGAGUUAUCUCAAUUCAUUGUUCACAGUCAGUACAGAUUGAACUCCUUGUUCUACUCUUUCCCCCUUCUCACUACUGCACUUGACUAGUCUAAA
Molecule: unclassified non-coding RNA, 111 nt
Organism: Cavia porcellus (domestic guinea pig)
Lineage: Eukaryota; Metazoa; Chordata; Mammalia; Rodentia; Caviidae
Rfam family: Y RNA
About the family: Y RNAs are components of the Ro ribonucleoprotein particle (Ro RNP), in association with Ro60 and La proteins. The Y RNAs and Ro60 and La proteins are well conserved, but the function of the Ro RNP is not known.
Source: Ensembl